AAAAAUUUAUAUCGACUCAUUUUCUUCUUCCUUCUCUCUCUUACCCGAUAAUAUCUCUGCAAGGCGAGAUCGACCUUCUCUGCUUAAUUUGAGGAGAUGGAUAGUUAUCUGAGGUGAUCGGACGUUUUAUCAUCAUCUCUACCGUUGCCGAGUGUCAAUGUCGACUGUGGUGCAGCUAAUCGGCCAGUCGAUUCAUGGAAAACGUGAGAGCUAACUUUGAGUUUUUAAAGAAACUUGGUGUUGAUUGGUGGUGUUUCCAUGACAGAGAUAUAGCACCUGAUGGCAGUACACUUGAGGACUCUAACAGAAACUUGGAGUUACGCUGCUGCUCAAGUGAAGAAGGCAAUGGAGGUGACACAUUACUUGGGCGGUGAAAACUACCUUUUCUGGGGUGGCCGUGAAGGUUAUCAGACGCUCUUGAACACUGACAUGGGAAAAGAGCUUAAUCAUCUUUUUGGUCAGGGAGACCAUGGUAGACUUGUGAUCAGUUUGGUCGGGUCAACAAAUGGCAACAACUAGAGAAUUCAAGCAAGAUGAUU
Camelina sativa (false flax) is the source of this 539-nucleotide non-coding RNA. Lineage: Eukaryota; Viridiplantae; Streptophyta; Magnoliopsida; Brassicales; Brassicaceae. The record is from RefSeq and is a predicted model, not a curated record.